Molecule: ribosomal RNA, 309 nt
Filed under: Triticum aestivum (bread wheat)
Lineage: Eukaryota; Viridiplantae; Streptophyta; Magnoliopsida; Poales; Poaceae
Description: partial small subunit ribosomal RNA
Source: RNAcentral
AUGUUCUCGUCGCAGUCACUCAGUCGCGUCAACAACAUCUGCACAAUGAUGAUUAACAUGCAGAAGGGAAAUCAAUCGGUAGCCUCCUUCUUCGCCGCCAUGAGGGGUCUCGCCGAUGAACUCGCUGCGGCGGGAAAACCUAUCCAAGACGACGAGCUGAUAUCCUACAUCAUCCAUGGGCUGGACCAAGAUUACCAGCCCCUCGUUUAUGCUCUGGAUGCCCGUGUCACCCCGGUAACCCUUGAUGAACUCUUUUCCAUGCUCAGUAACUUUGAUCAACACAUGGCACAGUACCACGGCUCCAGUGGU